GAGAUGCGUCUGAAUCUUUCUGCCAGUGUGUUAAAGUUAUUCUGAUAUUGACUGUAGUUCUGAGCUUUGUCUCUAUCCCACCAAACCACUAACUUCUGGAAAUUACUUGUAGACCAAGAUGGGAGGACUCCGUGUGUGGCUCCUUGAAGGUUGACUUCAGAUCACAACUGCCAGUUAAAACACCAUGAACACACUGGACUUUUCAACUGUUUUGAAUGAAAUGUGCAAGUGAAGCCAGCAGAAAUAUCACUCUCUCUUCAUGUGACAAAGAAACUUCCUAAAAUACUAAAAGCUAAAGGAGAUUGUUAUCUAAGCUUGAGAUGGAAGGUUGCCAGCGGAAACUUGGAGGAUCACAGCCAGUCGCCUGGGAUUGACCACAGGGAGUGGCAGAGGCAGAAAGCAAAAGACCAGUUGCAAUUAUCCAGGUAAAAGAUGGAGGCUGUUGCAAUAAUCCAGAAUCCUGAAUUGAGCCUGUGUUCCCAGUUCCUAGAAACCCUCAAGGUUAUUGGUUUCCUCCUCGCUUAAUAGACCAGUGGAAGAAAUCUACCUCCAGUUCUAUCUUCACAUGAGCAACUGUUUACAGUUUACAAUAUUACUCUGAAAAUCAGUUCUUUUCAAGUUUUAUCUAACACCCACCAGAAGAAACAGAAGAUUAUGAAAAUGGAAUUUGUCAAAGUUCCUCUCCCAACAAUAUGAUAUUUAAUUUUGCUAACAUUUUUUUUUGAACACUUACUAUAUUGCAGACAAUGGUCUAAGUAAAGCAUUUUAUGUGCAUCCUAUCAUGUCAUCAUCACACAGCCCUGUGAGGUAGAUACUAUUAUUAUUAACCACAUUUCACAUUCAAAAAAACUGAGGCUUAGAGAGACUAAGUAAAUUGUCCAAGGUCACACAGCCAUGAAGUGGCAGAGCUGUGGUUAAAACCUAUGUCUGUCUGAUGUUUAAGAUUUUGCUGUUAGCAUUACUUUGAAAUGACAAUAUGAGGGCAUUUUAUGUAUUUUUUUUGCCCCAAUAUGAUCUGCAGAAACUAUGUAUUUUAAGUACUACAUUUCUUUUAUUUACCAAAUUAUUGUCAGAUAAGAAACCGAAAUAAAAGUUUACAGGGUCUAGGAUUCCUCCAUAAUGAAUGAACUUUGGGGUAUUUCAGUGACAAAUUGGCUUUAACGCGAUCAAAUUCCAUCCUACAAUGAAAGUGUGUUAGUUUGUGGUUUCAAGUUUAAAAACAGCACUGUAUUGUCUUCCAGAAAUAUAUAAAUAGAAAUUCAAGAAGUAUUUCAAUGAAUACAGAUAAAAUUAGUUUUGUUAGAACAUCAAA
Molecule: long non-coding RNA, 1312 nt
Organism: Homo sapiens (human)
Lineage: Eukaryota; Metazoa; Chordata; Mammalia; Primates; Hominidae
Product: long intergenic non-protein coding RNA 1844
Source: Ensembl